UUCGAACCUUAGGAAUUAUAGGGUUCGUCGGAGCCGGAUGUCGUCUCUCCCCCGCCGCAUCUCCUCAAUUCCUGGUCUUCUCCUCCCUAUACACGGUAAACCCUCCAAAACUCGAAUCUGCUUUAGAAUCGGAUUCGAUCAACCUUUUCUGAUCGAAUUUUUAUCGCCAGAUGAGAAGCUCCACGGGUCUUCCCUCUUUCCUUCUUCGACUGGGCAGUUCAACAGUCAAAAGGCGACAUCUUGCGUUGAAUGAAACAUGGAGUCGAAGACCCUUGGCUGAAGAAACCUUCAAUUUUCCAGAAGAACGCGACCUCCAAAUCAAGUAAUUCGGUUUUCUUGAAGAAAGCCAAGUAAUUGUUGCGACCCAAAUUGUUCUCAAGUUAGAAGUGGUGGAUGCAAUUGAUGAGCAUCUUGCUUCCGCGUGCUUAUGUGUUGGAGCCUUCCCAUCAGUGUUCUUGUUCUUGUAGGCGUUUGGUAGAACUGGAACAGUGCUCAAUAUCUCAGAAGAGAUGCAAGACGAUUCCAAGGCUUCGGCUAAGCAAGUCUCUUCAUCGAGAAAUCACUGUGGAAAGGCUUUUGUUUUAGAAAAGCCAUCCACAGUAAACUACACCGCAAAAUGUUGGACUACUUCCUCAACGACGAACACACGUCUCAGUGAUAAUUGACAUGCUAAUGGUUGGCAUUUCCACCCCCUUGAUGAUACGAUGAGGACUACAAUGAUGGUAAGUAGACUGUACAUUUUAUGUUCAUCGUAAUGUGAAUAAGCUGUCGAGUACUUGCUCACAAUUUGGAAUGCUCGACAUGAUAGCGUUUACAAACUAUUCUUGUGAUAAAUGAAUAUUACCUGUUGUAGUUUAAGAAGCAUUGUACAUACAUGAGAGAACAAUUCAUAAGCUUUUACAUGCAUGAUAACUUCUAUAAAUGUGUAUGUUUGCAACAUAAACAAUCAGAGCACAGAUGCCUUAUGUUCAUGUCGCUACAAGAAAGUCUCAGCAGAAAAGUAGACUUUGUAUUGCAUGUGAUUUACUAUGAAUUUUUUGCCUAACCUGCAGCACAUAAAUGUGUGUCCGAGUACUGACCUGUUCAUUUAAGUAUAUGAUUAACAUUAUUAACAACUGAAGAAGGUGCAAUAACAAUGAUCAGUAAAUAAUUCAACAACCAUUCUAUAGCAUUCAUUCCACAAAUUACAUAGGUAACGAUACGAUGUCAAAAAAGAACUCAAGAUAUCCUGUAAUGUAUGGCAACUUUGCACAUAUCUUGUGUCAUUUUCAGGAGAAUUUCCUAUCUUUGUAUGCCAGAAAGCAGAGGAGGUCUCAUUGCAUCUUCUUCUACCAUGUGUGCAUGCAUUUCUGAAGCAAAAGCAGGAUUUGAUUUGAACAUAGCAGUUCCAGCUUCGCGAGGCAAAGGGGAGAGAGAAGGUUGAAUGGCAUUACUCAGUUCCUUCACAUAAAAUUUAUCUUCCUCGACAACAUAGUAGUCUGCUGUUCUUACCUCCUGAGCAAGAGAACAAGAGCAGCAACAUAGCCACUGAAAACAAUCUGUCACGGACGGCUCGCCGCAGCAGAAAGUAUUCGGAGGGAGGUUAAAUUU
This 1590-nucleotide long non-coding RNA is filed under the name Musa acuminata (dwarf banana). RNAcentral describes it as "long non-coding RNA (MACU_LNC004744)". The record is from RNAcentral. Lineage: Eukaryota; Viridiplantae; Streptophyta; Magnoliopsida; Zingiberales; Musaceae.